RNAcentral lists this ribosomal RNA (433 nucleotides) under uncultured bacterium. RNAcentral's name for it is "partial 16S ribosomal RNA". It matches the Rfam family "Bacterial small subunit ribosomal RNA", at positions 29 to 507 of the family's 1533-position model. The record is from RNAcentral.
AACGAACGCUGGCGGCAUGCCUAACACAUGCAAGUCGAACGAGACCUUCGGGUCUAGUGGCGCACGGGUGCGUAACGCGUGGGAACCUGCCCUUAGGUUCGGAAUAACUCUCCGAAAGGGGUGCUAAUACGGGAUAAUGUCUUCGGACCAAAGAUUUAUCGCCUUGGGAUGGGCCCGCGUUGGAUUAGCUAGUUGGUAGGGUAAAAGCCUACCAAGGCGACGAUCCAUAGCUGGUCUGAGAGGAUGAUCAGCCACACUGGGACUGGGACACGGCCCAGACUCCUACGGGAGGCAGCAGUGGGGAAUAUUGGACAAUGGGCGAAAGCCUGAUCCAGCAAUGCCGCGUGAGUGAUGAAGGCCUUAGGGUUGUAAAGCUCUUUUACCCGGGAUGAUAAUGACAGUACCGGGAGAAUAAGCUCCGGCUAACUCCGUG